AGAGUUUGAUCAUGGCUCAGAUUGAACGCUGGCGGCAGGCCUAACACAUGCAAGUCGAACGGUAACAGGAUUAGCUUGCUAAUCGCUGACGAGUGGCGGACGGGUGAGUAAUGCUUGGGAACUUGCCUUUGCGAGGGGGAUAACAGUUGGAAACGACUGCUAAUACCGCAUAAUGUCUACGGACCAAACGGGGCUUCGGCUCCGGCGCAAAGAGAGGCCCAAGUGAGAUUAGCUAGUUGGUAAGGUAAAGGCUUACCAAGGCAACGAUCUCUAGCUGUUCUGAGAGGAAGAUCAGCCACACUGGAACUGAGACACGGUCCAGACUCCUACGGGAGGCAGCAGUGGGGAAUAUUGCACAAUGGGGGAAACCCUGAUGCAGCCAUGCCGCGUGUGUGAAGAAGGCCUUCGGGUUGUAAAGCACUUUCAGUUGUGAGGAAAAGUUAGUAGUUAAUACCUGCUAGCCGUGACGUUAACAACAGAAGAAGCACCGGCUAACUCCGUGCCAGCAGCCGCGGUAAUACGGAGGGUGCGAGCGUUAAUCGGAAUUACUGGGCGUAAAGCGCACGCAGGCGGUUUGUUAAGCUAGAUGUGAAAGCCCCGGGCUCAACCUGGGAUGGUCAUUUAGAACUGGCAGACUAGAGUCUUGGAGA
This 650-nucleotide ribosomal RNA is filed under the name uncultured bacterium. Its description in RNAcentral is "bacterial SSU rRNA". It matches the Rfam family "Bacterial small subunit ribosomal RNA", at positions 8 to 655 of the family's 1533-position model. The record is from RNAcentral.